GCCCCCGUAGCCCAAUCGGCAGAGGCGGCGGACUCAAAAUCCGUACAGUGUCAGUUCGACUCUGACCGGGGGCACCA
RNAcentral lists this transfer RNA (77 nucleotides) under Saccharopolyspora gregorii. Its description in RNAcentral is "tRNA-Leu". It matches the Rfam family "tRNA". From Rfam's summary of the family: Transfer RNA (tRNA) molecules are approximately 80 nucleotides in length. Their secondary structure includes four short double-helical elements and three loops (D, anti-codon, and T loops). Lineage: Bacteria; Bacillati; Actinomycetota; Actinomycetes; Pseudonocardiales; Pseudonocardiaceae. RNAcentral also lists the same sequence under 8 other names. The record is from RNAcentral.